ACGAACGCUGGCGGCGUGCUUCACACAUGCAAGUCGAACGGUGAAGCGCCUUCCUUUUUUGUGGGUGUGGAUGAGUGGCGAACGGGUGAGUAACACGUGAGUAACCUGCCCCCUUCUUCUGGAUAACCGCAUGAAAGUGUGGCUAAUACGGGAUAUUCUGGGUCUGUCGCAUGAUGGGUCUGGGAAAGAUAUUGUUUCGGUGGGGGAUGGGCUCGCGGCCUAUCAGCUUGUUGGUGGGGUGAUGGCCUACCAAGGCGGUGACGGGUAGCCGGCCUGAGAGGGUGGACGGUCACACUGGGACUGAGACACGGCCCAGACUCCUACGGGAGGCAGCAGUGGGGAAUAUUGCACAAUGGGCGCAAGCCUGAUGCAGCGACGCCGCGUGAGGGAUGGAGGCCUUCGGGUUGUGAACCUCUUUCGCCAGUGAAGCAGGCCUGCCUCGUUUGUGGGUGGGUUGACGGUAGCUGGAUAAGAAGCGCCGGCUAACUACGUG
Molecule: ribosomal RNA, 493 nt
Filed under: uncultured bacterium
Lineage: Bacteria
Description: partial 16S ribosomal RNA
Rfam family: Bacterial small subunit ribosomal RNA
Source: RNAcentral